Molecule: RNA transcript, 2653 nt
Organism: Amaranthus tricolor (Joseph's coat)
Lineage: Eukaryota; Viridiplantae; Streptophyta; Magnoliopsida; Caryophyllales; Amaranthaceae
Gene name: putative ubiquitin-like-specific protease 1B
Exons: 10
Source: RefSeq, a predicted model, not a curated record
AGGUGACAUGUACCGCUUUAAUUUGAUGGGUUAGGGUUUAGGUAAUGGGAGAUUUAACAAGUAAUCCUAAACGAAUUGAUGAAUGCUUUAACGUACACACCCCCUUCUCCGUAUAUUCACCCAAUUAUAUCUGUAGUUACAGUAAUUCAAUUGAUAUUCAUAUAGCGAAAAAACCUAGAAUCGGAAAGCCUGGAAAGGUAAUUGAUUUGCAAAAGAGCAGUUUUUCCAGAUUCAGUAGUUAUCCUAAACCAGAGAAGCUACCGAGGAAGGUUCAUGCGCCUUGUAGGUCAAAUAAAUUCAGGUCUUUGUCCAGUGGAUUAAGGUUUGAUGAUAGUGGGAUGGGAAAUUCACUCAAGGCUGCUUACGAACAGGCGAAACAUAGUGCAAUCAAUGGGUUGCGAUUCGUAAUUGUCGGAAAGGAUAAAAAUGGCGUGGUUUCGAAAAAUUGUAGAGAGUCAGAAAUCGCAGCAGACAAUGGAAGUGAUGAGUUAGAGUUGAAAAUUCAGGGAUUAGAUGGUAAGGGUUUGGAAAUUGGUGCUAUCCCGACUUCUUCGACUGUAUCUGAUUUUACUGAUGUUGAAAAUCUUUGUAAAGGGCUGAGUUCUUUGUUGGUUGAACGUGAGAAAUACAAAAAAUCGGGCAGUAAUGUGGUUAGAAGUUAUCCUAAGCUUAGUUCUCUGGAGUUUGAAAUCAAGCUACAAGAGGCCCGGUUCCAAUGUAUGCAGUCGCUGGAGAAACCGAAGGAGAAGAGACUAGAGGAUUUGUUGUUUGAGCCUUUUGUUCCACUUACUGAGGAGGAGGAAAGGGAAGUUUUAAGGGCCUUCUCACAUUCUAAUCGGAGUAAGAUUUUAGUAAAUCAUGAGAACUCCAAUAUCGAUAUUACGGGUGAAAUUUUGCAGUGCUUGAGGCCAGGUGAAUGGUUGAAUGAUGAAGUCAUUAAUGUUUAUCUGGAACUGUUAAAAGAGAGGGAAAGACGAGAGCCCAAAAAAUUUUUGAAUUGUCAUUUUUUCAACACAUUUUUUUAUAAGAAGCUGGUAGGUGGAAGAAAUGGGUAUGAUUAUAAAGCUGUGAGAAGAUGGACCACUCAGAGAAAGCUUGGCUAUGGACUCGUUGAUUGUGAUAAAAUAUUUGUUCCUAUCCACAAAGAAGUACAUUGGUGUUUAGCAGUAAUCAAUAAGAAGGAUAAGUCAUUUCAGUAUCUGGACUCGUUGGGUGGAAGAGAUCUUCAAGUUUUAGUAGCAUUGUCCAAAUAUUAUGUGGAUGAAGUAAAGGACAAGGGCGGGCAACACAUUGAUGUGUGUGAAUGGAAGCUAGAGUGUGUGGAUGACCUGCCUGAACAACAUAAUGCGUUUGAUUGUGGUGUGUUUAUGAUCAAAUAUGCUGAUUUCUAUAGCAGAGGCUUGGGUCUCUAUUUCUCCCAGAGACAUGUUUAAAAUUUUCAUCUAGGGAUUGAAACCAAGAAUUCUUGUGUUCAAGGUGCUUGGAAAGAACGCUUUGAAUAGGAUUGCUGAAAGUUAUAGUGAGUGAAGGACUAUUGUCAAGUUGCUGGAUGAUUUUUUGUUGAGGAUAGCUGUAGUGCAGACCCCUUUUUUCAGCGAUAAGAAAAACCCUUUGGCUUCAUUGUUUUGCAUGUCACUGUGAAUUAUGGAAGAAAAUCCAAGCCCCUUUAUUUAUGUUUCAUACCUCAGUAAACAUAAACAUAUCAUAUAUAUCACGAUAUGUGCUAUAUUGCGGAAAACAUGCCUUAUUUUCGAUUAAGGACAGCAAAGGAGAUUCUGAGGUUAAAAGCAUAUUGAAUUGGUGAAAUGCUCUUUCUGGCUUGAGGUGCACAAAUGUUAUUUCAAACACGUUCCAUUUUCAGUGAGACUAUUACUAUUCCUUUGAAAGCCCAGGGUCUUCUCAAUGGACUGAAUGUUGCUGAAAUAUACAGAAUAUUGGGUUGUGAGUUGAGUGAACUUGUAUAUACUGUGUAGCUACUAUUCUUGGUUACCUAGUACCUAUCAUGCUAUUCCUCCGUACUUUUGGCCUCUUAUUGACCCCUUCAGCUAAGAGUGCAGUGUAACUUUUGGGCUCGUCAUGCUUAUUGGUAUGGAACAUUGCUGUAGUUUGAGUUUUGGUGGGGAGGAUCGGUGUCAUCAGUUUUAGAUAUCACCAAAUCAAGUGCUCCAGUAUUUUUUGGCCGUGACUAUUGGAGAGUUAUGGUGGGGAUGACGGUGUCUAUAUGUUAUCUGCAGCGAUCAAACUAAGGGAAGGACAAUGAAACCUCCAUAUUUUAUCUGCGGUGACCGAACUUAAAGGACAAAGAAACCUCCAUAUUAGAUCUAUAAAUAGAAAGUUCUGUUUGUCAUGAGCAUUUUGAAGUAUAUAUCUGCAGUUCUUGUGACGGUGACUCGGUGAGCAUUUAUCGUCUUUUGGAAUCAAGCAGGAAGAACUCUUCAAGAGCACAAAGCAUGCCGCUGAGGCUUGUCGUUGUAAAUCAUCGUCAUGAUUCAUACAGUUUUUAGUUUCACAAUCCUACAGUAUGAGUUUUUACAAAUUAUAUGAAUAAACAGGCCAAUAGACAUGCUUACAUGACAGAUUUUGGAUCAUUUCUUUGUAGUACUUGGUUAAUAAAUGAACUGUGAGGACUGGAGAGCAAGGUUUCCUAAUCAAA